UGAAGAUACCCAUGCUGUUCU
RNAcentral lists this unclassified non-coding RNA (21 nucleotides) under Chlamydomonas reinhardtii. Its description in RNAcentral is "small RNA Cre_2845". The record is from RNAcentral. Lineage: Eukaryota; Viridiplantae; Chlorophyta; Chlorophyceae; Chlamydomonadales; Chlamydomonadaceae.